Long non-coding RNA from Myotis lucifugus (little brown bat), 3990 nucleotides. RefSeq lists it as uncharacterized. NCBI's taxonomy places the organism in Eukaryota, Metazoa, Chordata, Mammalia, Chiroptera, Vespertilionidae. The record is from RefSeq and is a predicted model, not a curated record. The transcript is spliced from 3 exons.
GCUGCAGUACCUGGUGUUCCUGUUUAUUCACUUCACAUGCAAGUUGAAAGUGACCCCAGGCAAAGAACGGGACAGACCGGCCUCUUCACCUAGGCCUCUGAUCCAGAGCCUUGUGUUCUAGGUCUACCUGCACCCUUUCCCAUGAUAUCCACACACCUGUCAACAUCCAAGUCCUGAAAAACCAUGGGCUUUUUGGCCUCAAUGAGGCCCAGCUUCGGAUUCUGCUUUUACAGAACGACCCCUGCCUUUUACCAGAGGUCUGUUUGUGCUACAACAAAGGUGAAGCCCUGUAUGGCUACUGCAUCCUCAAGGACAAAUGCAACAAGUUUCAUGUGUGCAAGUCCUUUGUCAGGGGAGAGUGCAGGCUUCAGAAAUGCAAACGGUCCCACCAGCUCAUCAACGCGGCAUCCCUGAAGCUGCUGGAGGACCAAGGACUGAAUGUGUCCAGUGUCGUUAAUUUCCAGAUCAUCUCUACCUACAGGCACGAGAAGCUGCACAAGAUGCUUGAAAAUAAAGAUAAUUCAGCUUCUUCUGUUGAGCACUCACCGGGCCUUGAGAAGCAAGGAAGACCGGUUCCUGGGGCUGCAGAAGCCCGUCCCCCGGCCUCCGGCCCUGCCCAGUCGGCCAAGAAGCCAUGUGCAGGGAAACCGUGAGGACGUCGCGGAAGUAAGAAGAAGCUCAAGAAGCUCCUCCAGUUGGAAGGUCUGGAAACAAAGCUUCCGUGUUGAGCUUUGAUUUGUAGCUAUUCAUUCAUUUAAUUAUUUCUUUAAAAUACCUACCUCACAGGGUGUCGUGAGAAUGAAAGAAGAAGGAAAAGGAGACGUUGUCAGAUUUGGAGGAUAAGGUCGGGGAUGAGGUUGGACCUUGAGCAGGCAAAGAGAGGGUAAACCUGAGUACAGAUGGGUCCGUGCUGGACAAGGCCUGGGAUGGCAGCUUCUGCCUGCAGUUCCUGAGAGCUCUCCCGGGCUGGCUGGCAGAGCUCGUAAACAGGCAGGUUUCGCUGACUUGCUCUGUGACCCAGCCACAUGUUGGUCUGCAUGCCCAUAUAUACAGUUUGGGUACGUCAACUUCAUCAGCAUCUUCUCAUAUUUGUUCACAUUUAUCACGCAUCAUCAUUUUUAUGCACAGAUACAUUCGUAUAUCAUAGUUUUCUUAACUGUUUCCCUUAUCCUGGGAAAUUUUGAUUCUUUCUAACGAAUUUGGAAUAUAACUCUUUUCUUUAAAUCCACACAAUAUUGAAUUUUUAAAGUUAGUCUUUUGCUUAGCUUAUAGUUGCAAAAUGAUACUGUUUUUUGAUUUGCAUUUCUUUAGGUUUAUGUGCAAGUGAAUAUUUUUAUGUGUCUGCUUUCUGUAGGUCUUUAUUUUGUGCAUUUUGCACAUGCUCUUUAAUUACAGGGGCCUGUAAUUACCUCUUUUGUGCCAAUGUGGGAUGGCCUUUAGUUAGGCUCCUUAAUUUUUAUGAAAGGCUGUCAGCCAUACUGUGCUCAUAUAAUAUUCACCUCUUGUGGUUGCAUCCUCGGGCAACACAGAGAGUAUAUAACUUUUGGGUGCUCGCCAGAGAUUCCUACCUCACUUCUACUCUGCUCUUACGAAACUUUGUCCAAAGCCCAAUUGCUAUGGUUUGAAGGAUGUGUAGUUCAUCCAUUCCUCAAAAUUGUAUUCAUUCUUUUAUGGAUCAGGAUGGACCAUCAGAGAUCUAUAUAUCUCGCCCACUUCAUGUUCACUUCCCCCUCCCUCUCCUCUCUUCCCCCACCCAGAUGUCUUCAUCCAGUGAUGCUUAGAUGUUUGGUUCUUUGUUUCCAUCAAAGGGUACCACAGAGAAGCACUUUAUGGAACCCUUCCCUGUGUUUGCUGUCAUAAUAUCCCCAAAUGUCUGUGUGGAGUGUUUUUAGAAAUACUUAACUGUCCUGCAAUAGCAUGGCUUUUGAGAAAUAGGGGCAAGGUAGUGAGUUUUUCAUAAGGCUAACUUUAUUUAAUUUAGAAAUAUUUUUGUCGUGAAGUUCUGUCUUUUGCAUUGGGGGUGGUAUUCAAAAAAUGUCUUUUGUAAAGGGAGAAAUUGCUGUGUUUUCUCCUAAUGGACAGUAAAAGUCAUGCAACUUUUGUUAAACUUUUCAGUUUGGUUGUCAACAAUGGUGUUUCUGAAGCCCUCACAGCUUGCAUAUCUUGUUUCUUCUUCCUAGUUCUGAUUUCUCCUGGUGCUAAUUUUUAAAAAAAUAUUUUUACAUUUUAUUAUUAUCAUUAUUUACAUUAUAUCAUUGUACUACAUAUAUUUUUGUUGUAAGCCAUCUUCAGUCCUUAAUGGAAACAGUGUAGUAUGUAAAUGCAUAUCCUUUAUAUUAAGAGACUUGGUAGACUUAUAUUAUCGUGUUUCUUUCAUAUAUCUUAUAAUUAUGUGCUUAUACAUGAAGUUAUUGACCCUUUGUAAUCUUUGUUGCAAUAUUUUAUUCAAUUCUAUAAUAUUUCAUUUUAACUUUAGUUCUUUGGUAUUCAUUCUGUAGAAAUACUUUAUGUAAUCGUACCUGAUGAUCAGCUGUUACAGAGUUAGACUCAGAGAUAAGUUUUCUUUGGCAAUUUAUUGGCCCUUAUGAGAUGAAGCUAUAUAUCUCUAGGCUCCACAAAUUCAAUAUAUCCUAAAUUGAAGGAUUACGUUUUCUCCAAGCUGUUCUUCCCCCCUCCCCCCAUUUUUUUUUUAAAUUUUGGAGUUUUCACCAUCUAAUGACUUAAGCCCCAAAACUGCAGAGUGCCCUAAUACUCUUCUCUCUCUUUAUUCCCAGUGUCAAAUUGGUUACCUAAUGUUGGAGAUUAUUUUCCCCUCGAAAAUCUCUCAAAUUUUUAUCCUUCUCUGUGCCUUUCUUCACAUUCCCUACACACUGCCUUGUUUAAAACCCUCUUAUAGAACUCAGUGGUUUUCAAGUCAUGUCUUGCGAGUGUUUUGUGGGAGGUGCUAGGUUACAAUGGUGGUUGCCCCAUUUUAAUUGUUAAUGUAAUAGACUUUUGUGGAUUUCACUGAUCUCCUUACCACCCUUCUCUCCCUCUGCCUUCCCUUCUGCUGCCUGGUUGAUCUUUUGAAAUCCAGUCCUAAUCAUAUCGCUUUUUCCUGCCAUUACCUUUAUUGGUCCCCAUCACGUAGGGAACGAGUCAUAAACUCAGACGGCUACAGGGACCAGAAAGGUGAGUUACUGGAUGAAAUGAGCUGAAUGUAAGAGGAAGGGGGCAAAGAGGAAGUGCUGUGGCAAAUUUUCCCGUCGAAAAGGGGUCUCUGCCUCUCGUUUUCAUGUGGGAACUUGGUCCAGUUUGUCAGAUUGUCCAUUUUGACAAAAGAAGCCAGAAAGCCAGAUUUUCUGAUCUUUAAAUAUUAAGUUUUUAAAAUGCAGGCCAGUAUUGUGUGUACUGACCUACUUGCGGUUUUGGAAUGGGCCGUUUGAUCCUGUGACUCUGCGUUUGUAAGUUCCCUCCCUCUCGGUGUCACCCUUCUUCCCUUCACCUGCCUUAAAACCUGGUAAAAUUAGAUUCUUUAAACGCCGGGUUAACCUUUCCUGACCCCAAGAGAGUGCUCAGCUCUCUAGCAUAGCACUUACUUCCUUACAUUGCAGUGCCUUGUGCUUUUAUUCCCUAGCUUUGAGCAAAAACAUUAUUUAUUCUUCUUGGCAAUUCUCACACUUGGUAGUUAGAUAUUUUUGCCAUGUAACGAGUUAAACUCUGCAUUUGAAUCAAUUGAAUCAGCAUUAUAUUGGUCUUCAUUGUUCUUUUUUCUUCCCACACAUAUAUUUUUAAUUUUCAAAAAAAUCUUUUUCUCCCUAAGGAAUGUGUUACAUAAGGUGUAAAGAUCUUUUUAAUGCUUCAAUUUGAAUUGUCUAGGUCGAAAAUGAACACUUUAAGAAAAUAUUUGUCUUUUAGUGAAUUGCCUUUGUUCUAACAGCGUUUUUUUCCCCCCUAAAAUCAUAGCUGCAAAAAUAUUUGUCUUAUGUAUCUAUUUUGUGUUAAAUAAAA